GCCUCGCUUCUGAUGGGUGCAACAGCAUCAUUGAGCUCGCCCCUGCUAUCCUGAAACCUCUGAACCUCCUUCCAACGUGUGAAGUGCGGAUCAAUCAACUAUGCCUUACACUCUGCUACAACGUCUGCACCCUCAACACCCUGACCCCGCCGGGCGCCCCCUCACCGGCGCCGGCCAGCGCCGCCGCACCACCACCAUGCAAGCAAUAAUUAUAUACCCGUGUCUUACUUCAUAAGCAUACAAAUUACUAAAGAAUGAUCAAAAUAUAUCUGUGUAAUAAAGUGUCCUUGCUCCCGGUAUAUGCCUACCGGCUAGCUAGAGGAAGCGUGUGUGCGAUGCUUGGUCAUCGUCAGUGUUCAUGAGCUAAGACUCAUACUAUGUAUCUGAUAUCUGUGUCCAAGGGUAUUCUUGGAACCCGUGUUUAAUUGGAAGUAUAAAUUUUUGUAUCAACCAAAAAUCACUUUAUUGUUAUGGUUUUUUCCUAGUUAUAUUAUUCAUCAAUGCAUGCAGAACUAUAUAGUCCCUGUUGGGGAACCAUCUACGCCUAAUAUUCAGAUGGGCAAAUAAUAUGUUAGGCGUAGAUGGUUGAGUUCUUUAUCUUUCAGGAUCUAGAAUCAAGGGCCUUAGCUGCCCGCAGUCCAGUGCAGAAAAGGUGGGCAAGAAAGCAUCGCCAAGAGAUCUGGUAGAUUUCACUCCCCAAGGCAUAGAAGCCAUUGCUAUAUAAGCAAGAUAGACUUCCAUGCAACUCAUUAAAGCAGCAUCUAGCCAGCUCUUGAUUUGAUACCUAUAGGUUUCUAUAUUUGUGGAAAAAGUUCAUAUGCCAUAAAUUCUUAUAUUUAGGGAUGGAGAUAACACAUGUAAGAGCAAGUCCAAAAGCUCUCUUUUAUUAACCCCAAUACCUCAAUUAGGGAGAAAAAGAAAAAAAAAUAGGCUCCAACAACUCCCCGCAAAUAUUUAGCAUCCCGAAUCCUUCCCUCAUCGCCCCGCAUAUAUCCGUCGAUCCAAUCUUCCCCAAUCCCCCUCAUGCGGUUCUCCUUUGCCCGCACGCACAAUCAUCAUCUGAUGACGAACCCAACACCAGUUGCAUGGAAUGGAUUCGUCGGCUCAUAAUGAAUCCGUUUUACCUAUCUCCAAUAGCAAUAGCGUAGUGGCAGGUUUGGCUGGUAGAAGCAGUGGAAAAAAAAGCUGCGGGGAAGGGUGAUUGGCGGCGGAAGGUGGCGGGGCUGGUGUGCCGAGAACAGAUAGUGAGGGGGCGGGGAAGGGUGGUGGCCCAAUUGAGGGGCCCAUACAUGCUGAUGGGUCAGUUUUGAAGUAUUGGGGGGUUUAUUAUUGGGGAUCUGUCGUGGGAUGACAUGAUUUUGGGGAAAUAAAUUUUAGUAAAACCCCCAAUACAUAGUUUUGGGGAAGAAUUUUUUAGAUACUCUGGAAGAAACACAUGUAAUUCUAUUUCAAAAGUUACCAAGCACCUUUUAUUUAUAUCAAAACAUAUUUAUCUGAUUUCGUUUCUUCCACAACUUCAUGUUUGUACCAUGUAAUGAAUGAAAUUAGCAUCACAAUGUGCUUCUACCAUAUAUACAAUUUCUUGUAUGUACCGUAUAAUAAGUGAAAUUCAGUGUCACACGCUGCCCCCAUUUGCAUAAUUUCAAUGUAUGUACCAUGUAACAUAAUCAAUGACAAUCAUAAUCUCACGCUUCUCCCAAACGUGCAAGUUGUUUUUCGUUUUACUGAGUCAUUUUCUCUUUUUAAGGUGAAGCAUUAUGUACUACGAUGGAAUUCUUCAAGAUUACCCUGAUAUUAGUAGAACAAUAUAGGUACUUAAUUGACGAAAACAUCGGUCACGCAUUUUAGAUCAUGGCUGGUCUUGGUUUGGAUGGCUGAUAAUCUUGCCGCCCCUUAAUUUUCAUAUAUAUUAACCCACUUCAAUCAACGGUACGGUGCUUCUUAGAAACUAGCAUCAUGUAUUGUGAAAAAAUCGGUCAUGUACUCUAAUGAAGACCUUAGACGUUGGACAAACUCGGUCGUUUCCUGCCUAAAAAAUAGCACAUCAACUGCCCAAUACAUGUGGACAUCAUCUGCUGCAUAAACAUGUCCUCUCCUCUCAAUCAUAUCAUCUUCUAGCUCUGCCCGGCUGCAUCCAAUCUUGUUGAUCAAUGGCUUCCACUUAAUGGCCCCGUGCUGAGGAUGGCCAUUUCCAUUGCCACUUCGCUUCGGCCCAAGCCUAGCUACCGGCGACGGGCCUCACUUCGCUCCGUCUGAAGUCGGCCUUUAUCUGUAUAUAACUAAAUUUGGAUCAUAACUCAACAUGUCUUACUUCAUAAGCAUAGAAAUUACUAAAGAAUGAUCAAAAUAUAUCUAUGUAAUAAAGUGUCCUUGCUCCCGGUAUAUGCCUACCGGCUAGCUAGAGGAAGCGUGCGUGUGAUGCUUGGUCAUCGUCAGUGUUCGUGAGCUAAGCCUCAUACUAUGUAUCUGAUACUUCUGUCCAAGGGUAUUCUUGGAACCCGUGUUUAAUGGAAGUAUAAAUUUCUGUAUCAACAAAAAAAAACACCUUUUGUUAUGGUUCUUUUCCUUGUUAUUAUUCAUCAAUGCGUGCAAAACUAUAUAGUCCCUGUUGGGGAACCAUCUACGCCUAACAUUCAGAUGGGGCCUAACAUUCAUAUGGGCAAAGAAUAUGUUAUGCGGAGAUGAUUGAGUUCUUUAUCUUUCAGGAUCUAGAAUCAAAGCCAUUAGCUGCCCGCAGUCCUAUGCAGAAAAGGCGGGCAAGAAAGGCAUCGCCAAGAGAUCUGGCAGGUUUCGCUCCCCAAGACAUAGAAGGCAAUAUUGCUAUAUAAGCAAGAGAGGUUUCCCCGAUCAAGCUGGACUCACUUUGCCAAGCAAGAUGGAGUUCGCUAAUCGGAAGAGCGAAAGGUGUCCAGAUGCAACUUGCAUGGCAAGCAAGAGAAAAAGCUUUGAUUGAAUGCCAGCUUCAUGAAGCGAAACAAUGACAUCAUUAAGGUGCCAGCUUCAUGUGUUGUAAAGACAGCGGUGCUCCUAAAUAUGUCUAUAAUAUAGUCAUUGAAGGUCUAAUUGUCUAUAAUAUAGUCAUUGAAGAUUAAAGUAGCAUGAUUUAGAAAACACAAGUCAUCUCAUAAAAUAAAGCUUACCGAAAGCUCAGUAUCCUGGCCACAUGUAUCCAAAUCCAGCGUAUAGAAAAAUCCCACCGAAAACUCACGCGAAAAUUCUUGCCGGUCCUGCCAUAUGCCUCACGGACAUUAAUUUUCCCCUUCACUAGUGCAUCGAUUUCCGUUAAGGAAACAGAACCUUUCUAUCAGGUAUUCUAAUUCUAAACCAAGCAAGCCUUCUAAUUUCCCAAUCUUUUACAAACAAGACAGCAUGGUCAAUUUUUUUCUCAUUUUGACACAAGUGGGGAACGUAAGGUUUAUUUUUUCAUUCUUUCAGGAUCUAAAUUUUCCCUUCCACAGAGGAAGCAAACAGCGGAGUGUUUGCAUCUGUCAGCAAAAAUUUUGAUUUUUUUUUCAUACCAACCUCUGAGAGACUCCAUGACGAGUCAUUGGAAGCAUGAACUUGCCGGCAAAAGCAUGCAUGCCAUCCUUUGGACGUGUAUCAAUGGCGAACUAAGCAGUAUGGCAACAUAGACGUCGUGCUUGAUCUGUCACUGCAGCAAGCUCUGAAUCAGUGAUGAUGGUUUGAUCCACCCUCAUCUCUUUUUAUUGGAUAAAGUUAUGAUAAUUGCACAUUUGCCUCUCGAAGCAUCAAGCAACAAAAACAACAGUGAAAAGUGUAUCGAUGAAGAUCCAGAUGGCAUACUAUUACAAAAUUAAGUAAUUAGAGGUUUCAUUUGAAGCCUUUAUGUUAAUUAUUAUCUGCUCCCUUGAGUCAAUGGUGGUACGGUGCUAGUUAGAAACUAGCACCGUACCCCAAGUUGUCAUUAUACAUAUCAACAGUACGGUGCAGUACUCACACUACCACAAAUGGAAAUUUUGUGAGGGUCAAAAUUUGUCAAAACUAGCAUCCCAAUAAUGCAAGUAGCUAGGCUUCUCAAUCACGGACGUGUUGUACUCUCCUAUAAGAUUAGAAAUAGCAUAUCUACUGUCCCAAUUUGGACAUGGAAUUCGAUGAUCCUGGCCUACAAAUACUGGUGUUCCCGCUCUCUUUCUCCAUCAACUAAUACCGCUCUCGUCAGUUCUCCAUCUACCCCAGCUGCACCUACUCAUAUUUUGAUCCAUGGCUUCCGCGAACGGCUCCGUGCUUAAGACGGCGGUUCCUGUGGCUGCCUGCAUCGCGCUGAUCCUCCUGUCCAUGGGUCUGCCGCCGGCGAUGGCCGACGUGGAGGAAGACUGCCGCGGGAUUUGUUAUCCUGCGUGCGAUGGCUUCACUUCCGAGGUGUGCGGGAGCCUUAAUGGAACCUUGCCUGUCCUGGGUAACAUUGGUUUCUUCUACACGACGUGCAAGGUGCGGGUGUCUAUAGCAUGCAGAACCCUUUGCUUCAACGUCUGCACCCUCAACACCCUGACGCCAAGCGGCGGCGCCCCCAUGCCGGCGCCGGGUAGCACUGCCGCCGCGCCACCACCAUGCAAGCCGUAAUGCUGCCUAUCUACGUGAUACUUCUAAAAUAUUACUACUGAAUAAUCAGAAUAUAUCUAUAUGUAAUAAUAAAGUGCCCUAGCUAGAUCCUGAUAUGAGCCUACUGCCAGAGCAAGCAUGUAUGCGUGCUUGCCGGUGCUCAUGAGCUAAGCCCCAUACGUAUGUGAUCUGGUGUCCUGCAGCGAUAUGCUUUCGAACAGAUGUUUAAUAUGCAAGAAUAAAUUUCCUUGUCCAGGAAAUAUAUCCUGUUGUCUUCUCAUUACUACAUAUGUUAAUCGUUUGCUCUUACUAGAUUCUCGUAUCAAUCAGAGAAAAAGAAAAACAUCUCAGGGAUUACCAACCAUGGACUCGAAAUAUGAUGAUGCAGAUUAAGUGGCGUGGUUUAUUAGAUUUAGGAAAAAACUCCAAAUUACCCCCUCAAAUAUAGACAAUUUCAUGGUUCAGUAAUUUACCUCCUAAACUAUGUCAUUUGGUUCGACCAGCUUAGGUCUGACUUCUAUCGCCAGCCAUUUUGAAAAAAAUUAUGGCAAUUUGGCAAGCCGAAUCCAUCGUGGAUGUGUGACAUGACGUGCCACGGAGGACAAAAUGGCAAUUUUGUUAGUAAAACAUCUUUUCGGUGGCAAAUAUGUAGGCGCCAUUCUAAAAGUGGCUUCUCAAGGUAUGCCAUUUCUAAGGAUGGCAAAUAUUUAAAUAUCUCCAAAAUUAUAUCCAUGGCACAGGACCCUCAAAUGUCUCGGAUGGCCCUGCUAUGUACGUGAUAACAUCUAUUUCCUUUAGCUUUAAGAUAGCGUUUGUUUCACUAUAAUGUAACAUAAUCUGAUUACAGCGGUAAGCAAUCCCGUUACAAGCGUUUAUUUGUGGUAAGCAAUUAAUCCCGUUACAAGCGUUUGUAAUCAAUUCACGCUGUUAUCAGAUACCAGGCAUAUAUAUAGAAACUCGUUACCACUCCUUCCCCAGGGUAAUUAGAAAACGAUACACCCACAGCAGCAAGUCGAGGCGGGAGUAGCACCAGCCGCCGCUCGCCGCUCUGUGCGACUACGCCUGCACUUCCUGACCACGCAAGCAACUCCGCCGACGAAUCACUCCUGCAGUGCCGCCUCUUCGCCUCCAUGUCUCGAGCCACUUGCAUCCUCCCCUGCUCAUCUCUCUCAAAUCGACAAAUCCUGUAUCCUCACCCACGAUCAAGGAUCUGGUCUUGAGAUGGGGAGGUGGAGCAGGAGGAACAGCAGCUCCAUCCACAGACCAUAUUCUUCGGCAUGGUGGAUCUCCCUCGUCUUCCCUUGCUUUGGUUCAAUUUGUGCGGCUCGAUGGAUUCUGCUAUAGCCUAAAGGGAUUGGGGAUUUCUUUUCUGCAAAGAUUGGGGUUAUUUUGGGUGCAGAAAUUGGGGGGGAUUUCUUCAUACAUUGGUUUCCCCAUCAAUUUUCAGUUCAUUUUUUCUUGAGAUUGGUUUGGUCCUUCCUUGGGAAGCUGUAUAUUUGGAUGCAGAGAUGUAUAUACAUUCUCUGUUCUUGCAAGAGGAGUCCUGGUAUCUAAUAACGUUACCGCGGUGUGAUCAAACAAAGAGUGUAAUCACCCAUUACACCACCAAAAGCACUACAAUCACAUUUCAUGUAUGUUUACGUUACCAUUGCACGAACCAAACACUAUCUAUGUUUACGUUACCAUUGCACGAACACUAUCUAUCUAAAGGUAAUAUGCAUGGCCCGUGUUACUAAUCAAGGAUUUUCAUGAAGCGCACAUGUGAGUGCUAUCAAAGUCAUAUACCUUUAUUACUGUGAUAUUAGACAUACUUGAAUGUCUAUGAGAAGCCAUUUUGUAUGCGUGUGUACCUUUCACAUAAUCAUAGAAAAUAAAACUUGUCACAAUUUAGUUGUUGCCUUCGUCAUAUAGGUGUUAGGCAUGCAAGUUAUUCUUUUUAAAAAGUCCAAAUUACUCCCCUCAAGUAUAGUGAUAAAGUGCUUUGUUAGAAACUAUUUGACUAUAAAUUGUCAUGUCAAAUAAUACGAUUCAAUUCAUGUGAUAAAUAUGGUAAUUUAGAUUACCAUCAUGUGUCAUUUAAAUAUUUAGAAUUAACACUUAAGCCUAUUUGCCUAAGUAUACUAAGGAAGUAUACGUGUGUGCAAACACUCAGGUGCAAGCUAGCUGCAUGCAUAUACUCAUACACAAAGACCCUUGAAAUAUUCUAAUGCACGUGAUGCACAUUCCAAGGCCCAGUCCAAAAUCGCCAAGGAACUUCUUUUAAUGUGCGGCCCAUGUAUGCUAACGACUGUACGUAUACGUAUACAACUACCCGCCGGAGCGUUAAUGAUUUGAAAACCUUCAGGCUGGAGUACGGUCACGUUCAGAUUGCAUGCAUGGUCACUAGCGUUGGAGUUUUAAACGGGAGCUUGCAUGCAGCGCGCAGAGCAAUCAAUGACUUGCUCUUAUCUCGGGCCACUAGCAUUGCAUGCAGCGCUUUGCAUGGUAACUAGCGUUGGAAUUUUAAAUGAGAGCUUGCAUGCAGCUCGCAGAGCGAUCAACGGCUUGCUUUUAUCUCGGGCCACGCUGAAUUGAACAGCGGCGGCGCUCAGCUCCCAGACGCCAGGGGCGUCACUUGACCUACCCUCCCUCUAUAUAUUGUUUUUGGUGCUACAGGUGAAAGGGAGAGGAAACACGCGCACACACAUCGCCAUCCACCAGAACACAAUCACAUAUCUUUCUUCAUCCACCAAAAUCACGGUCGCCUGCAGAUCGACCUCGCCGCCGCGAGCGAGUCAAGGCAGGAUCUCGUCAUCUUGGAAAGGCCGGCUUCGUCCUCAUCGACACUUCUUCUCCGCCAUGCCUAUGGCAUUGCCUGAUCGUGAGUAAUCGGCGUGGCCUAGGGAGUCUGUUAAUUUUGUUCUUGUGUUUCAAGGAUAUGCCUACGAUGACAGGGCUGUGAGCACUCGAUGCAUGCUGGCUUCUGGUGAAAGAAAUGCCAGGAGGCUCAUGUGCCCUACAGGCUUAUUGAUAAUAGGAAAAAAUAGAAGUGCCAAUGGCACUCAUACACUUUGCAGGUUUCAAGUUUGUAGGUGUACGAAGAAUUGAGAGAUCACAUCUCUCUACGGCAGUGUUUACAUAAAAGAAAUAGAUCAACAGAUAAAAGACAUAGAUCAACAGAUGAGCACGCCAUUAAGAUGGCAGUGCCAGACACUUUGCAGGUACUGGAGGCUUCACACGGAUAAUAAAAUUAAUGGUCAUGCUUGCAGGCUCACGCCACAAGGCUAAUCGAUCUAUACAAUAGGUCAUGCCAUGGUAUUGAUAAGUGCCUGGAUCCUAUAUGCAAGUCUGCUAAGGAAGGAGAAAGGAAAUAAAGUAUACAGAUGAAAUGUUAUGUUUUGCGACGGUCGGGUUCAAUUAAAAGGUCUCAGAUCUAUUAAUUUAUUAGCACUAGCUUUCCGUGACCGACGAGGUUGGAAAUUUCUAUUAUGUGCCGACCGGUGAGGUGGGAUAAAAUCCGUUCGUGACCGCCGAGGCUGAACCCAUUCAUCUCGGAAGCUUUUGCUGAACACGAGGCGUGAUGAAAUACAGCAUUAAGGUGGUGUUUGGAUCCAAAGUUCACGGACUAAAUUUUAGCUCCUAAAAUUUAGCCCCUAAAAUUUAGUUUUGCUGGGAUGUUUGGAUCCAUGGGCUAAAUUUUAGUCAUCAUCAAAAAAUGACUGAUUUGCCCUCCCUCCUCACUCCUACAACCACCACCAGAGUAGCAGCGAGAUCCAAAAUCCGACGCUCCAGCUCCUCCCACCUCUCGUCCGCGCGAGCUCGGGCGGUGUCGGAGGCGGUGGGGCCGGAGGAGGCGGUCGGGCGGAGGCGGUGCGGCCGGCCGGCCAGAGGCGGCGAGCUCGGGCGGAGGCGGCGGGCUCGGGCGGAGGCGGCGCGGCCGACGGAGGCGGCGAGCUCGGGCGGAGGCGGCGGGCGUGUGGGAGGCGGAGGAGAGAGGAAGUGCGGGAGGGGCAAGGCACGGAGGCCGAGGAGAGAGGAAAGGGGGCAGGGGUGGAAUUUGUGAUCCAGGUUCACUUUUAGCUCAUUUUAGGGCCUCUUUGGGGGCUAAAAUUUAGCUCCAAAAUUUUAGCUAUUUGUCACUUUUAGCCAUCCUAUUUGGAUCCCAAGAGCUAAUUUUUGGGCUAAAAGUGCAGAGUUAAAAAUUAGCCCUUGGAUCCAAACAGGGCCUAAGUCGCUCAGCUUUGUUUCUUCUCGUUGUUUCUUUUAUGCAGCAUUCAUCUUUGGAGUACAGGAUAGGACACAACGACGACCGUUUGACACAGCAUAAUCGGAGGUAUUCCGCGGGUCGAACCUACGGAUGUAAUUAACUACAGUUCUUGCGAGGCUCUAGGAUUUAGGAACUAUGCAGUCGUCUGUACCUUGAGGUGCUAUGCUGAAAUAUAUGUAAAAAGAGAGGAGACUUGCAAGUUUCUCGAGAGAUGAAUAAAGAAAGCAAGUUUUCCUAUUUUAUUGUGUUUCUGUGAUAGUAUACUGGCACGCCCGUACUUUAUUACGUCGUACGCCGAGAGAUUUCGAGUAUUUCUCUCAUGAAAACAAAAUGGCACACCCGGUGGGACUCGAAUGUCCUCCCAUCUUUGCUGCUCGUCAUCGGUCGUCGCAUUUAGAUCUUGUCCUGAACCUCCUAUGCAUAGUGUUGUUUUUUCGAAUUGUGGUGUUGUGGUCUAAUCAAUGCACAUCUCGUGCAGGUGAGAUGUCCACCACCAAUGCUUCUCUACUCGCUGGUUCUGAGCCUUUUGUGCUUCAGUUUGGCACGAUGACGCCUCUUGCAAUCUGCAACGAGGGAUUCAAAACACAGAUUUACCUGAUGGAGGAUCCCUCCCAGCAAGUUUCACGGAAAAUCUUCAAACGUAAAGCUGCAGUGGCCAGGAAGGAGUACCAGGCACUAAUCUGCAAUGCUAGGAACAUGCUGAGGAGCUCUGAAACUCAGGAUGUGCAAGGAGAGGUUGAAACGUCUGAUGAUGAUGUUCCGCCCACCCAUCGCACAGAGAUAGAACUCCUCCAGGGUCUGGAAAAAAUGAGCUGCCAUUUAAGGGCCAAGGGUACUUUUGCUAGAACCUCCAAAAAGAAAAAUGCUCAUCGUAACUACAGGAGAAAGAGGCAACAGGUGAAAAAGCUUCAAGCACAAUUGAAAGCUCGUAUUGGUGAAGGCUUUAUGUCACCAAUAGACUGUAACGAGGGCCACCACCAUGCUGAUCACAGUUCUAAACACCGUGUAUUCCGGCAUAGCGAUUACACCAGUGAGCAUAACGUGUUUCAGCACAGUACUCCCAUCCGAGAGCCUUAUGUAAUUUCCCAGAGGGAAUGGGCACCAAAGAGGCAACAAGCGAUAGAGCUUGUUAAGGAGGUGAUCAUGAAUGAAUUUUGGAGGAGAACUAUUGAAGGGCAAGGCGUUUCUCAGCCGCAUCGCACACUGGUGUGUUGCCUUCAUAUCUACGAAAGUGAAAAUUCUAACAGAUUUGCAGCCUUGUCUAGUGAGGCGUCGGCUCCCAGAGCAGGUAGAUUACAACAACAAAUUGAGCAAUUACAAAGCCAGAUCAGUGGGAUGCAACGACAUCUUCAGAACCAGGAAAGGCCAGCCCCGUCUUCUUACAGGGGCAGGCCAAAGUUUUACAAUCGGCGCUCACGCCAAGCGUGGGUUCCGAGACGUGAAUCUUGGGCUGCCAAUAUCAUUCCACUGCGCCAAAGGAGUUUAAACCUCAGUGGCGUCUCAGAACUCUUUUAGAGGACAAGGCACCUCAAGGCAACAAACUGAACAUACAAUUAUCGACGGGAUGUCAUAAUGCACCUUUUUAUAGUGCACCACGGUUUCCAGCUCUUCCUCCUCCGACACCAUCGAGAAGUCGCUAUGCGAUCAUGAAUCAGCAAAAACGUGAAAGGCAUAGGAGGAAUCGAGAGGUAACUGUAAUAUCAUUUUCGUCUCUUUUUCUUUACAGGUAAAGUUCCGCCCUUAACCUUGUCGAUGUCUGACAAUCAGCGUAGCUUUCCUCAGCCUUCUCGGCAUAAUAGCAAAUCCGGAGAAUUUUCAAGAGUACAAAUAGCAAAUCUACUUUCCCAAUUUGGACUAGGAAUUUGGUCCUAGCCUACAAAUACCACGUCUGCUGGUGUCCCGAUAUCGGCAUCAACUGAUGAUAUAGCUUUCUUUCUCUAGGUACCCAAGCUGCACCUAGCCUACUGAUCAAUGGCUUCUUCUAAUAGCUCCAUAUGCUUAAGAUGGUGAUUCCUGUUGCCGCCUGCAUCGUGCUGGUCCUGUUGUCCAUGGGUCCGCCGACGUGGAGGUCGAUUGUGGCGCCAUUUGUCGUCCUGCAUGCGAUGGCUUCACUUCCCACGUGUGCAGGAGCCUCAAUGGAACCUCGCCUGUCCUCAAUAAUCUGGGUUUCUUCUACACGACGUGCAAAGUGCGGGUCUCUACACUAUGUAGGACCUUUUGCUAUGGUGUCUGCACGCUCAACACCCUAUCAUCGGUCAAAGAAAAGAAAAAACAUCUCAAUGAUCACCAAGUGCGGACCUGAAAUAUGACGAUGCAGAUUAACAAGCAUGGUUUAUUAGAUCUAUCAUCCAAGCAUACAUUAGCUCAUGCUUAUCGAUCAUGGAGUUCUUCAGUUCUGGACACAUUUAUACAUUUCCAACACAAAGAAAAGAUCGAUCGAAAUCUCAUGUGAAAACACUUGUCGGUCCGGUCUUAUACCUCACGAACUCUUCUUCACAAGUACAUCAGUUCCUGUUAAAGAAACAAACGUUCUUAUCAAGUCUUCUAAAUGUAAACCAAGCAAACCUUCCAAUUUUCCAAUCUUUCACAUGACAGAUUGCCCAAUUAGGAAAGGAUCAAAAAAAAUUCUCAGUUGACGAUAUGAAAAAUAGGAUUUGUUAUUCUUGCAAGGAUCAAAAUUUUCCAUUCGACAGAGGCAGUAAACAGAAGAGUAAAAUUUGUUGUUUUUUUAUAUGAAGCUACUAUUUCUAGAGGUCCCAUAUGGUGAUGCACACAGUCGGUAGGGGAAGCUCCAACAUAUUUUUUCAUAUUUUUUUUAUCCUAGACCCGUUUAAUUUGCUCCCACGAGGAGUCGAACCUGGGCCCGCUGGAUGCUACUCAGGUGCUAACUCUAACCACUAGGCUACUUGUUGCCAAGCAUGCCAACAACAGAUACUUCAGGUAGUUGUGAUAAUUCUACAUUUGCUUCUCCAAGCAACAAACAAUACAAAAACUUCAGGUAGUGAUCAGAGGCUAUAUUAUUUGGAGGCUUCAUGUUGAUCCUCAUGAGAUGCUAAUCAUCGCUAAUAAUAAAAGUCAUAUGAUCUAUUCAGUUUUUUAAGAAAACCCAUAUAUAUCAUUAUGAAAAUUGUCUUAAUUAGACCCCUAAUCUUUACCUAAAUUACUCCUUGCCAUUUGUGAAAUAACCUAAGUAACUCUUUAAAAUUUACAUCUAAAUUACCCGCCCCGCUAUUUUAAAAAUCAUGUAAGGUAAAUCCAUAAUUCAGCAUCCCAAAGUAUUCCUAAGUAUGCUUCAAAGUUAUAUAUUUUUUAUAUUUUUAAUAUAGAAAAAACAAACAUCCCUAAGUAUGCAUCUAAGUUAUAUAUUUUAUAUUUUUAAUAUAAAAACAAACAGCCCUAGGAUCGAUCUAUUAUGUUUCAAAAAAAUUUGGUAUCUACCAUUAUGAGAAUAGUCUAUAAUAACUGGCUAUUACUGAUUAAAGGUUUCCAAACAAGGUUCCAUUUGGAUCGUUCAUGUUAAUCGCCAUGAUACCCUCUAUAAAAAAGAUAAAUGCAACAAAGUCUCACAAGAAUAAGAAACAUAUAACCAUCAGUUUGGCAUUCUCACAAAAAUCAGCAUCACAACAUGCUUCUCCCAUCUGCAUAAUUUCUUUUAUUUAUGUGUGAUACAAGACGUGGUUACAAGUUUAUGCGUACACGUGUGUACGUGUGUGCAUCUUCCAUGUAAUAAAAAAAGAUAAAAUUUCAGUUGUUUCCUUUUAUCAUAUAUAUAUAUAUAUAUAUAGGUGUUAAACGUCAAUUUGUUCUUUAGUGGGAAUGGUUUUACCGAGAUAUUUGCUUUGUUUUUUUUUUUUGUGUAGGCUUGAGGUGAAGCAUGCCUGAAGUAUGAUGUUGUUCUUUAAUAUUCCUUUAUAAGCAGAAGUAUUGUUUGUAUUUAACUGAUGAAAAUAUAGGUUGCAUAUUACUUAAGAUGAUGCCAAGAUCGUGGCCCAUUGCCACCCCCGUAAAUGGCAGAUCGAGGACGGUUAGGUUCAUUUGUUGCCUACGCCAAGGAUGUAGCAUGUGCGCUCAUUAAUUACUCCCAGUACAGUUCUCGUUAGAAUCUAGCACCCCUUAAUGUAUAUCAAUUAGAUCAUGUUUGGAUCAGGACUAAACUUUAGUCAGCUAAAAAUUACCUUCCGACCGAAGAUCCAAACAAGGGGUAUAGGUAGGCUAAAAAUUAGACAAUCCUAAAUAAUUGUAGUACAUUAGCCUUCUAAACACAGCUAAUCAGAGCUAAUUUUUUUUACCAUGGAUGCCAAAAGACAAAUACCCACCAAAAGAACGAGGCAUUGCAGCGGGCUCUACCAGGGGUAGAAUGGACUUUAAUCAAUACAUAAUUUAGAUCAAUCAUACAAACACACAUGAGUUGUCUCAAAGAAAAGCAAGGCCACCAAGCUCAGCUAGAGUCACGUUGGACACCAUGGUGUCAGUGCCAUUAACUAAAACUUUUUGAUAUUUCACUUCCAUCUAUGCUCUUGGAAAUGCAUUGAGACUCCUUUAGGAUUCAACGAAAGCUGUUGUCGCCAUACGUAGAAACACUCAUCCGCUCCGGCUCCAACGUGAAAUUUCCUAGCAACGGCAUCUCGCUGCUCUGUUUUGCAGGAGCCUCACUACUAGUCUCCCUAUCCUCACUACUAGUCUCCAUUUAGCUAUAUGCACAUUUGUAGGCGUGUAAGCCACAAUCGUGCUGCCCUACUUUCACAACCAUGUACCCUAAUCUCAAGUUACACUUCGAAUUCGAUCCUUGCCUACAAAUAGCGCAGCUGCUAGUGUCCCGAUAUCGGCAUCAGCGUAUAUCGCUAUCUUUCUCUAGCUACCCAGCUGCAUCUAGUCCUGUUGAUCAAUGGCUUCUACUAACGGUCGCCUUGCCUGCAUCGUGCUGGUCCUACCGUCCAUGGGUCCUCCGGUGAUGGCCGACGACUGCCACCCUGCUUGUGUUCGUGCCUGCAAUGACUUCGUUUCUAAAACGUGCGAUAUAGUCAUGGACAUCGCCCCAAUCCUUAAAACUGUGACUUCUCACAGACGUGCAAGGGGAAAGUCUCUCGAUUAUGUGUUCCUACCUGCGAUAACUUCUGCAUGAUGCUGACGCCCGGUGCCCGGACACCGGCGCCGGCCAGCUCCGCCGUGCCACCACCAUGCAAGCCAUAAUGCUGCCUGCGUGUUACUUCUAAAAUAUUACUACUGAAUAAUCAGAAAAUGCCUAUGUAAUAAAGUGCCGUAGCUCCGGGCAUGUGCCUACUGCCGGCUAGACGGGGCAUGCCUGUAAAUCGUGGUUAUGGUCACAGUGUUCAUUGGUAGAAAAACAAGCAAUGGGAAACCUCGUAGAUCUCGGUUUUCCCAACCAAGACUAAUCAUUUAGGACUAAAGAUUCUGGUCAUAUCUUUAGUCCCGGUUAGUAAAAAUAUUAGAAAUUCACAAGUCACGUGAUUUUUCACUCGAAAUAUACAUGUGCGCAGUGCGUGGGAUUCAAACCCACGACCUCAAGCCUCACCCAUAGCUUCCUUACCAUCUCACAUACACAGCAUAUCUAAUUGAGUAGGGGAUGCAAUCUUUUUGUAGUAACUCGUGGGGGAUCCUUUAGUCCCGGUUAAUAACACCAACCGGGACUAAAGGGUUUAGUCCCGGUUGGUGUUACCAACCAGGACUAAAGCCCUCGGAGGCUGGGCUUUAGUCUGAGCUUGUAACACCAAUGGGGGCUAAAGGAUCACCUUUAGUCCCAGUUGGUAAGGUCCCUCCACGGAUGAGCUUUUUAUUGAGGAUCACCUUUAGUCCCAAGUCAAAAAAACAACCGAGAUUUUUGUUGGGGAUGGAAGGUUACUUAGUGGUUGAUGAGUUGAGCAUCAGACGAUGUAUCUUAUCUUGUGUCCAGCGAUAUGCUUGGAACCAUUGUUUAAUGAAAAUAUAUAUAAAUUUCCCCUUAUCGUUCUGCUUGUUUUCUAGUUACUCAUAUCUGUGUGCAGGAGUAUACGUAUACUUUUCGUUGGAGAACCGAUAUUCGCGUAUCCCCUUCCCUGCAAAAGGGUCGAGUUCUUUGUCUUUCAGCGUGUAGAGUCUUAAGACCUUGGCGGUUUACAUUCAGAUGGGCGAAGAAGAUAUGCCAUGGCCCCUCUAGAGCAAAGACAGGCUUCGCCGCGAUUGCGCUCACGAUUGGCACGGCGCAGUUUGGCAGGAAACCAAACGAGCUCUAUGUAUUUAUGGAUGUAAGAAUUCAAACAGCCAUUUAGCCUGCAUAAUAAUGUUUAAUUCCGUUAUGUUCAGGUCAUUUAUCCCGUUCAAUCCCAUUCUUUUGACCGUUUAAACCCUGUUUCUGUUGACCGUUUACAUACUAAUAAAGAAUACCGUUCGUCUCGGUUCACUGUUAACGCUAGCUGCUUCCCUUGCCUUUUAGGUGUUUCUCCUCUAUAUAAAACACCACCCAAAUACAAUAUUGUAACACCCAAAAAUUACAUCUUUGCAUUUUAUUAAAAUUUGCUAGAAACAAUUUGCUUGUUUAAGGCAUGUAAGGUCAUUUUUGCAUUUUUCUAGACAUCCAAGCAUUUUUCUAAUUUAAUAAUGAAAUAUAGGAUUUUAUUUGUGCAUUCAUGCCGCUGCAUAGCUUUCAUCUUGUUUGCUUGAUUUCCAGUUUGCGUUUUGCUUUUGGGGUGGCCGAUCUUUUUUCUGUCUUUUCAGCUGGUUGUAUUUCAGUUCCAGAGUUCAGUCAGUAGUCAUCCGUUCGUUGGUUCUUCAGUUUCAGUUCUGUAGCUCUUCAGUUUUCUAUCGCCAGGUGUCUAUCAAGUUUCCUCGUUUGGCAACAAGGUGUUAACACCUGUCACAUCAGAUGUUUGAUACUAAUUAGAAAUAUUAAACAUAGUCUAAUUACAAAACUAAUUGCACAGAUGGAAUGUAAUUCGCGAGACGAAUCUAUUAAACCUAAUUAGUCCAUGAUUUGAUAAUGUGGUGCUACAGUAACCAUUUGCUAAUGAUGGAUUAAUUAGGCUUAAUAGAUUCGUCUCGCAAAUUAGCACAGAGUUUUGCAAUUAGUUUUAUAAUUAGCUCAUGUUUAGUUCUCCUAAUUAGCAUCCAAACAUCCGAUGUGACACUGUUAAAGUUUAACACCUCGUAUCCAAACACCCCCACCCCCUAGUCUUAGUUGCUGUUGGCAGUGGCAACAGGCACCAAGUUUCUUUUCAGUCCAGCGCUGGUGCCUUUCAAUGUUAAGUUUGCCAGUUCAGUUUCUGUUUUUGGUUCAGAAACAGCAGCGAACUGCUAGCUCCGAAUUCCUUUUCUUUCAAUCCAGUUGCGCCUGCUCCUUGCUGCCGGCCCAGCAGUUUCCUUUCCAGCCCAGCGCAGCGCCUGCUAUUUCCUCCGGUCCAGCUCGCGGCCAGGGGCCCAGCUGCCCGCACAGCAAGCCGUUUUUUUUGUUUCCCCGCAGCGGCCCAGCAGUGGCGUGGCCCAGCUCUCUUGCCCGUGCAUCGUCUUCUUCUCUCGCACGCCUGACUCCUCCGCCCAGCUCGCACACGUUCCUUCAGCGCCGCUUCCUCCGCUUGGACUCGAGUCCGAGUUUGCCCCGCGCCCCUGCCCAGCGACCGAUUCGAAGCGGGCCCGCACCCUGAGACCGCAUAUAAAGGCCGCCGCUAUUUUCUUUCCCAAACCGUAGAACCUUCGCUUUCGCAUCUACAGCUCCGCGAGCUCCCUUGCGCCGCCACCGUCGAUCUCCGCCUCCGCCGUUUUCCGUCGCCGCAAACUUCGCCCGGAGCUCCGCAGGAAGGUGGGGAGCUCGACUACCCUGUCCCCGUUCAGUUUCGCGCUCGUCUCCACCUGAACGAGUUCGCCGGAAAGCCGCCGUACCCCGCCGCGUUUUGGCGAAGUGCCGCCGCGUGCAUCGUCGCUAUCGUCGCCAGACGCGGGAUCCUGAUCCGACGGCGUAGCUUCGCCCGCUCGCGAGUCAAUCCGGUCUAUACCGGUCAGCAGCCGCGCGCCGCGCCGCUUUUGCACUUUAGCCUCUGCAGUUUUUGCGUUUUGCGCUACUACCCUCCCGCGGUUCAAAACUAUUUGAACCAGAUCCCUGUAAUCUUAGUUUGUCUCGCAGUUAUGCCCCUACAUCUUGUUUUAAGCAUAUCUUUUGCUUUAUAGCUUUGUUUUUAACGUUCUUUAUAUCCAUGUGUUCGUUUUAAUGUGUAGAAUAGCUUUUCAAACAUGUUUUCUCUGUUUAAUUAUGAUUGGUGUACUGUUUUCUUAUGUAUUGUAUUUGUUUGCUUGUAUGUGCUCGUGUGACGCGUGUAGACGUUUAGCAGUUCGAGGGAUUUGAAGAUCAAGCUUUCGAGGAGUACGAACAGCAAGACCAAGGCCAAGAAGGCAAGUCGUGCCCUUGAUCACUAUUUCUCAGUCCUAUACACUUUUACAUUCUCGUACUCAACAAUUAUGCUAUGCACAUGUUAAAAUUAAAUUGAUUGGUCCCAAUUAAGAUUCGCCUAGAUUGAAUUUACUUUUGCCUUGACGAACCAGAUUUACUUUUAUGUUGGGUAGCUUAUGCUUAGAGCUUACUUGGGAUAUGGUGGUUUAACUGAAUUCAACGUUUAAUCUUGCUUUACUUCUGUUGUACCUUUCAUUAAUACAAGAUCACAAGUGUUUAAUCGGAACAUGUAGAACCACCCAGAAAAACAGUGCUACCACAAGACUAAAUGGCUCUGGUCUUAGAUGAAUAAUUAGAAACCUUAGUCUGGGGUAAUCUUACUCGUGAUGAGGCAAGAGGGGGGACUGAGUUGUUGCAUUAGCGGCCUGUGAUAGGUUGUGCACGCCAUACACCGAAACCUUAGCGGGUUACCACUGACUAAUGAAUCUUUGUAAAGGCCUCGUAGCGUCCCUAUGCAAUCACACCUCAAAAGUGUGGUAUGGUGCCUUGCAAACACCGCAUGGUUGGGUCCAAAGUUCUUUUGAACUUUUACGCGACUUGUGGGUAAAGAUGUACAACCUCUGCAGAGUGUAAAACUGAUCGAUCAGCCGUGCUCACGGUUAAGAGCGGCCUGGACCCUCACAUGAUAAUGGUAUCGAAAGAUGGAUUUAAAUUGUUGUCAUUUCUUUUAUGGUUGUGUUAUUACUUUAUUCAUGUUCUUGUUUAAUUUCGGGUGGUAUAAAUUUAUACUUAGUUAAUUGCUAAUAAAACUUGACCAACUUAACUAAAAGCUGAUGCUAAUUUAGCCUUAGCCAUACCUUGAUUGGCCUUACACUACACUAUUCCCCACGACUUGUUGAGUACCAACCAUAAGUGUACUCACCCUUGCAAAACCGCUGUUCAGACCAAGCUAAUUUGGAGGAGUAUCUGCACGACUUUGAGGAGUUCUAGGCGUACGGUUCUUCAGUCAGCUGCCUGUGGUGUUGUCAUCGUCUUUGGAGUUCCGCUGCGUAAUAAUUUAAGCUUUGUGGUCAUGUAAUAAUGGUUGAUACUCUCUUUAUUUCGUUAUGGCACUGUCUUUGAUAUUCGCUUAUGUCGUACAUGUGUGUAACUUGAUCCUGGCGCACAUGUAUUUAUCGGAACCAGACUUAGAUAAGAAAAAGUAUUUAUGUGAGUAUCGUGUUAAACUAUAAACAAAUUAUAAUAGAGAGCAAAGAUGAGGAAUAUUUAAUAGCUAUGGUCCCAAACUAUUACAUUAAUUUCAAACAUUUCAUUAUUUAAAUUACUAGCCUGAUGAAGGCUAAUGUUAUCCUGACUAAUCUUUUAAAAGCAUGGUAAUCUCAUAUGCCUGUGCCGAAUUUGAUAUUCCAAUGCAUUAAAUUAUAAUACAUUUAAAUUAUUGAAGUUUCAUUUGGAAUUUUAAAUUUUUCCCACGCAUCUGCAAAUUAUCAACAAAUUUCUGCAUCACCACAUGGCUCUCCCAUCUGUAUGAUUUCUAGUAUUCAUGUGCGAUAGAAGACGUACUCACAGCUAUAUGAGUAGUCAAGUGUACUCAUGUGCAUAUUCCACGUAAUCACAAAAGAUAGAACUUCAUUUCAUAAUUUUAGUUGUUUCCUUUUAUUAUAUAAAGGUGUUAAUACAAACUUCAAGGUGUUAACACAUAGUUUUACCAAGUUGUUUGCUUGUUUAAGGUGUAUGCUUGAGGUGAAGCUUGUCUCAAGUAUGAUGAAAUUGUUUGAUAUUUCUUCCUUGUUCUUCAAUAUUUAGUUACUAGCAGCGGUAUUAUUGGUAUCUAACUGAUGCAAACUAUUGAUUGCAUAUUAUUCAAGCUCAGGGCUAGUCGAGAUUUGGACAGCAGAAUUGUCACCCCUAAAUUUCAAUGAUACUGUGCUCGUUUGAAAUUAGCACCUGAAGUUGUCAUUGUACAUAUCAAUUAAGGAGGAAAAUAUGUGCCAGUUAGCCGUAUGCUCAUUUGUGGUGAGUCAGCCACUGAUGUGGUGCAUGACUUGAUCAUUUGCCUACAAAUAGCGCGUAUCUGCUGUCACAAUAAGGGCAUCAUCAGCUGAUAUUGCUGCUCUCAUUCUCUAGACACCCAUCUGAAUCAAGUGUUGAUCAAUGGCUUCCGCUAGCGGCGCUUUGCUUAGGAAGGUCAUUCCUGUUGCUGCCUGCAUCAUGCUGGUCCUGUUGUUCAUGGGCCCCCCCCGUGAUGGCAGACAUACAGAACGACUGCCGUGCGAUUUGUAUUCCUAGGUGCAGUGGCCUCGCUUCUGAUGGGUGCAACAGCAUCAUUGAGCUCGCCCCUGCUAUCCUGAAACCUCUGAACCUCCUUCCAACGUGUGAAGUGCGGAUCAAUCAACUAUGCCUUACACUCUGCUUCAACGUCUGCACCCUCAACACCCUGACCCAGCGCCGCACCACCACCAUGCAAGCCAUAAUUAUAUACUCCUGUCUUACUUCAUAAGCAUAGAAAUUACUAAAGAAUGAUCAAAAUAUAUCCUUGUUUAAGGGCUAGAGGAAGCGUGCGUGUGAUGCUUUGGUCAUCGUCAGUGUUCGUGAGCUAAGCCUCAUACUAUGUAUCUGAUACUUGUGUCCAAGGGUAUUCUUGGAACCCGUGUUUAAUGGAAGUAUAAAUUUCUGUAUCAACAAAAAAAACACCUUUUGUUAUGUUUUUUCCUUGUUAUUAUUCAUCAAUGCGUGCAGAACUAUGUAGUCCCUGUUGGGGAAUCAUCUACACCUAACAUUCAGAUAGGGCCUAACAUUCUUAUGGGCAAAAAGUAUGUUAUGCGGAGAUGGUUGAGUUCUUUAUGUUUCAGGAUCUAGAAUCAAAGCCAUUAGCUGCCCGCAGUCCUAUGCAGAUAAGGCGGGCAGGAAGGCAUCUCCAAGAGAUCUGCUAGGUUUCGCUACCCAAGGCAUAGAAGGCAUUGCUAUAUAAGCAAGAGAGGUUUCUCCGAUCAAGCUGGACUGGCUUCGCCAAGCAAGAUGGAGUUCGCUAAUCGGAAGAGCGAAAGAUGUCG
This 20233-nucleotide long non-coding RNA is filed under the name Setaria italica (foxtail millet). RNAcentral describes it as "long non-coding RNA (SITA_LNC006240)". The record is from RNAcentral. Lineage: Eukaryota; Viridiplantae; Streptophyta; Magnoliopsida; Poales; Poaceae.